GAUCCCAUCUCAACUAUUAAUUUUGUAUUUCAUCCGCAAAAGUUUAGAACAAAAGAGACAACGAACCAGCUGCGUGAGCCUGAUUCAAAGAGGUUAAUUGACGUAAUUGCUGCUAAUGGUGUUCUGUUCAUAAUGGCAGCGCUCCGAAUAGAAAGAGACUGGAAAAUCAUCAUUUUCCAUUGCAUGCGUUGGUAGGCUCAAGUUUAUCUCUUGAUGUGCACAGCCUUCAUGAAAUCCGCUGAAGCAGACUUCCUGUGUGCAGGUGAGCUCUUUUCCCAUCUUCUUCUUGGGCUUCUUAAAGGAGACAAAUUACUCAGGAAGGGAGAGAAUUGUUCACAGGCGUCAACUUCUAAAGCUACAAAAUAUGGUGGUGUGAGGAAGAUAGAAUAUCACCUUGGCUGAGCUUAAUAUAUUCGUUUUGAAUAAACAUAUAAUAAACAUUUCGCCAUAAGUAAAUGGAACGACUAAUGUGUACCUUUCUAAACUCCCAACGCUGCAGGCCGUUGAGUUCCCAUGCACAGGGGCAGUUGUUGGCAUUUAUACAGCGAAUGGAUGGUCCAAACUGCAAUGUUGGAGUUUGAGGUACCGUGUCCAGAUGACCGUCUCCUUAGCAUCUGACUUUGCUGAGUUUGUAGCUUUCGACUCUGAUAUAAGUAAGCUGACUAAUAUCAGAGCUGCAGAGAUCUCUCAACAAAUGGUAAUCUUGAACAACUUGCUCUCAAUUCUCUGUCUUUGUCAUUCGUAAACAUAAAAUUCAAGUACCUGAAAUAUUAUUCGUCUCCAGAAAACGCAGGUCUCCGAGACCCCCCAGAGUUGGGCCUUGCCACAAUGCAUAGAGGACAUUGUUGGUCGCACCUUCCAGUUGAAGUUCUCUCGGCUCAAGUUCUUAUAUAAACAUCAGAGUUUCACUGUAUCUCGCAUUUACGAUACUCACCGAUGUCGACCACAACCAAUUUUGAGAACCAAGGUGGUGAUAACAACCCUGGUGAUGAUAUGCCUGGUGGUGGAGCUGUUAAAAUAUGCCAUCUAGCUGAGAACAGAAGGGACUUGGACAUUAGAUGCAACAUUGCUGAUGUGAAUGUUGCUGGGCAAACAUCUGCUCCAAAUGGAUGAAAUGAGGCACCUGUAGCUGAACAGAAAACAUGAGAGGAAAGGCGCUCGACAAAGAAGAAGAGAAACGAUGAAAUUAUCAAGUUCUAAGAGUGAUUGACUAUGAAGUUACGCUCACUGAAACCUUGCAUUCCAGUCUUCAAAAAUUUCUCACAUUUCAUAAGAUAAGACUUUUAUUUUCCUAAAACGGUGUCAUUUCUUUUUUGGUUAUUAUGAUUUUUUUAUUUGACUCAGAGUUCCCUUUGUAGGGUUGAGAAUAAUAAGUACUUUACUUUGAACAACAAAAAAUUUGGAGAGUCAAUAACAACACCAGCACAAAACUUCAAAAA
Brassica oleracea var. oleracea is the source of this 1439-nucleotide RNA transcript. RefSeq lists it as uncharacterized. Lineage: Eukaryota; Viridiplantae; Streptophyta; Magnoliopsida; Brassicales; Brassicaceae. The record is from RefSeq and is a predicted model, not a curated record. The transcript is spliced from 4 exons.